Long non-coding RNA from Andrographis paniculata, 2769 nucleotides. RefSeq lists it as uncharacterized. The transcript has 9 exons. Lineage: Eukaryota; Viridiplantae; Streptophyta; Magnoliopsida; Lamiales; Acanthaceae. The record is from RefSeq and is a predicted model, not a curated record.
AUUGCCAUUCACACAAUCCCUAAAGGCACCACCACCGCCAUUACCACCACAGCCACCCAAAUCUGAACGCACCUACUGCUACUACUACUACCGCCUUCAACGCCUCCGCAAUUUGUUCCCAGAUCUCUGCUGUUUGGCGGUCGCAUUCUGCGUCGGAGUAUAUUUUUUGUGUGUUUUUUUCAGGUGCGAAGGCGGAUAGGGCUGGAGAUAAAUGUCUGCUGUGAAAUGAAGCAGAGGAGUCGUUUACCUGCGUUUUUUGGCAGUGCUCGAUGAGCGUUUUGUUGGUGUUCGCUUUGUUUUUGCUGGUUCUGCGCUCGGCUGAUGUUACGCAGUUCCGAAUCGGGGCAAUGGCAGACCGCUGACGGAAGCCGAAGUGAAAUACAUCACGAAAAGGCAGCUGCUGUACUAUCUGGAUGAGUUUGGGGACAGAGGAGAGAAUCAUUCAGCGGCGCAACAAGAAAUCUUUUGGAAGAAAACAAUUAGGCUUUUGGUCAGAUUUCAGCAAAUCUUACGACCCUCAAGGUGAACAACAUUAGUGGGACGCUUCCAAGGCGGUAUGCUUGUUCGCUUAUCUGCUCCAUCUUCUCCUACUGCUUCUCGCCGAUUCCAUUCAAGUUUUUCUGUUUUUUUCUCUUUCCUUCUCACUUUUCCUAAUUCAAUUGCGGUACAUUCCAUGGCGUAUGUAUGUAUCUUCCGAUGGAACGUGAGUCGACAUCUAUGUGGGAGUUAAGCUUUGUUGUAUCUUCUAACCAUGGUAAACAUCUCUGGUUUUAGUUUACUUCAUCUCCAUUUUAAGGUAAGGUUCAGUGCUAUCAUCUUCUCAAACAAUAUUAUGUUUGUGCCACUAAAAACGCUUUAUCGUUUAUUGGAAACAACAUAGAUUGAAAGGAGUGCUAAAUGGGUCAUAUACCAUGAUUGUGCCACUUUUUCGAGUGAUUUACUAAGAUUGUAUUUGUAAAUUUGUGGUUCUGAAAUGUGUAAGCUAAUGAUUGAUCCGUUUGUUUGCUGUCUACUUCAUUCAUUUUCCGAAACAGAGAUAUUGGAUUUUAAGUUUUUGUUGAAACCAAAGUGUAGUAAUGUCCCUUGCGUUAUGGAGGAGAGUCUGAACCGGCAACUUACCGGGGGUGCCUUAAGGGGGGACAGGGGAAUGGCUGUAUUUAAUUUGAGUGGUGACGUGACGAGAUUCUUGAGUACAAAGUUGAAUGUAAUUCCAACUGCUGACUAUCAAACACUGCUUCUGUUAAAUCUUUCCUGGGUGGAUCACUGUUAAAACUUUUCAGAAUGAAUAUGGAAUGGUUAUCUGAUAAAUGAAAUGUCAUUUUCUAAAACAGGUGAACAACAUUAGUAGGUACGUUCCUGGGCGGAUAGUAUUCUUUCUGGUAUGUAUGUUGUAUGUAUGUAUGUAUCAUAAUGAGAAGGAGGAUGAGGUUGCAGUGGGGGAGCAUAUACUCAUUCAUUCCUUCAGCUGCAACUCCCUCUUGACAGCUUGCUAGCUAGGCGGGUAGUUAUGUUGUGAAAAACCAGUUACAUUGUUUGGUUGUAUUAGUUCCCUCUUUUUUCUUGUUGCCAUAGAUUAAACAAACCCCUCGGCUUUUUAAUCUUUAAUGUUAUUAUUUACUUGUUGUGUUUCUAAGUAAGUUUCAAUGAAUUUAUUUUAUGUUAUGAGUGUUCAUAGUGUGAGCAGGUCCUUGCCACUGCUCAUUAUUUAUUAACAAAUUUUAGUUUCUCUUUGAAUGUGUCAGAUCAAUGAGGGAAAAAGUAACUCCAUAUUGUCUGAAUUACCCAUGACUUCAUUUUGUAAUUUAGUUGUUUCUGUAGAGCUAUACACAGUACAUCCCGCUACAAAUCAUUGAUCUCGAUUCCUGGUUGAAGACCCCCUCAAUAUAUGUUUUUGAUUGCUCUGCUGCUGGAUUUAUUGUGAAUGCCUUCAUUGAGCUCCAGGAAAAUAGUACCUCAAGUUCUGGAUCUUCCAUGAGGGACUGUAUUUUGCUAGCAACCCGUGAAGCUCAUGAGACGCUACCACAAAGUGCUGAGUUUCCUGCUGAUGUAUUUACUUCCUUCCUUACAACACCCAUAAAAAUGGCACUAAGAUGGUUCUGUUCUCGGUCACUUCUUCAUGAAUCAAUUGAUUAUUCUCUGAUUGAUAGAAUUCCUGGCCGCCAAACAGACAGGAAGACCCUUCUUGGGGAGUUGAACUGGAUAUUCACAGCUGUGACUGAUACUAUUGCAUGGAAUGUACUUCCUCAUGAGAUUGUUCAGGCAAGAUCUUUUGGUUGCCAGCCUGUUUUGAAAUUUUUUGCUUGCUGAAAGGAUAAUGCGGUCUGCAAAUUGUUCGCCAGUUUCACAUCCAAUGUUACCACCAACCCAUUAGCACCAUAUGUGGGAUGCAUGGGACAUGGCAGCUGAAAUAUGCCUUUCUCAGCUUCCAACAUUAGUUGAGGACCAGAGGCCGAGUUCCAGUGGGCCCAAUGACAUGGUAUCCGGUGACCCGAACCCGAAUAUCGGCGGACCUAUCGCGACCCGUACCCGAUCAAAGACAUUACUUUGUUUAGAGGUUGUGAGCCAUUGAUUUUUAGAUUAAUGUAUGGCCCAGAUUAGAUAGGUCUUCUUAGCAUAUAUUCCUUAUAUUCUACUUGUAAAACAUUCAUUCCAUGCAUUUAAGAAAAAGUAACUACCACUUUGAAGAAGUUUCUUUCUUUUCGGAGAGAUUCUACCCAUCUAUUGGAGUGAUUCCAAUCAACCGAGAGGGUUAAUUUUUUAGCCUUCGGA